Molecule: ribosomal RNA, 253 nt
Filed under: uncultured bacterium
Lineage: Bacteria
Description: partial 16S ribosomal RNA
Rfam family: Bacterial small subunit ribosomal RNA
Source: RNAcentral
UACGGGGGGGGCAAGCGUUGUUCGGAAUUACUGGGCGUAAAGGGCUCGUAGGCGGCCAACUAAGUCAGACGUGAAAUCCCUCGGCUUAACCGGGGAACUGCAUCUGAUACUGGAUGGCUUGAGUUCGGGAGAGGGAUGCGGAAUUCCAGGUGUAGCGGUGAAAUGCGUAGAUAUCUGGAGGAAUACCGGUGGCGAAGGCGGCAUCCUGGACCGGCAUUGACGCUGAGGAGCGAAAGCCAGGGGAGCAAACGGG